This 511-nucleotide ribosomal RNA is filed under the name uncultured bacterium. RNAcentral's name for it is "bacterial SSU rRNA". It matches the Rfam family "Bacterial small subunit ribosomal RNA", at positions 31 to 524 of the family's 1533-position model. The record is from RNAcentral.
GAACGCUGGCGGCGUGCCUAAUACAUGCAAGUCGAGCGAACGGAUGAGAAGCUUGCUUCUCUGAUGUUAGCGGCGGACGGGUGAGUAACACGUGGAUAACCUACCUAUAAGACUGGGACAACUUCGGGAAACCGGAGCUAAUACCGGAUAAUAUUUUGAACCGCAUGGUUCAAAAGUGAAAGACGGUCUUGCUGUCACUUAUAGAUGGAUCCGCGCUGCAUUAGCUAGUUGGUAAGGUAACGGCUUACCAAGGCAACGAUGCAUAGCCGACCUGAGAGGGUGAUCGGCCACACUGGAACUGAGACACGGUCCAGACUCCUACGGGAGGCAGCAGUAGGGAAUCUUCCGCAAUGGGCGGAAGCCUGACGGAGCAACGCCGCGUGAGUGAUGAAGGUCUUCGGAUCGUAAAACUCUGUUAUUAGGGAAGAACAUAUGUGUAAGUAACUGUGCACAUCUUGACGGUACCUAAUCAGAAAGCCACGGCUAACUACGUGCCAGCAGCCGCGGUAAU